CGGAACGUGACUCUGCAGGACUUGAGGUUGUUCUGCAGUUACUAGUCACAGAACUGGAGACGAGGUGUGGGCAGGACAGAGUGCGGAUUGUGUCAGAAUUGAGUUAAAUUGUAGGACAACCAGCUGGUAUCCCAGAGAUCUGCUUGGUGGGAGAAAACGCCCAUGCAUUUGGUGUCAGAGGCUUAGAAGUAAAAAAGAACACCAUCAGGAAGAAAGCAGACAAAUUGAGAAUGUACAACUGUAUAAUUCCCCUGGCCUGGACUCUUCAAAAGUUGAUGUUGUAAGUCAAAACCAAACAGAAGUUAAGAUGGGGGAGAUUUUCCAGGUUAAUCUACAGAAAAACUUCACAAACCUUGAUUAGAUUGUGGGGAAAACUGCAUAGAAAUCUUCAGGGGACAAUUAAAAAAUUUAAAUGUGGCUUGGA
Non-coding RNA from Odocoileus virginianus texanus, 424 nucleotides. Lineage: Eukaryota; Metazoa; Chordata; Mammalia; Artiodactyla; Cervidae. The record is from RefSeq and is a predicted model, not a curated record.